Long non-coding RNA from Eleginops maclovinus (Patagonian blennie), 187 nucleotides. RefSeq lists it as uncharacterized. Lineage: Eukaryota; Metazoa; Chordata; Actinopteri; Perciformes; Eleginopidae. The transcript has 2 exons. The record is from RefSeq and is a predicted model, not a curated record.
UAUUUGCUUGGCAGUAGCAGUUUAAAAAAUAACGUAUGAAGUUGCUAGCUAGCUCUCCAACGUUAAGUUAAUGGCGGCAGUCUUCCCUGGAUCACCACUCUUUAGCACCCCUCGAUAUGCGGAGCGAGUUUUCACGGUGUUUGUGCAAUGCACACUCGUCUGAAUAAAGUACACCCGUAAGGAAACA